Molecule: RNase P RNA, 348 nt
Filed under: Lachnospiraceae bacterium
Lineage: Bacteria; Bacillati; Bacillota; Clostridia; Lachnospirales; Lachnospiraceae
Also listed under: 2 other names
Description: RNase P RNA component class A
Rfam family: Bacterial RNase P class A
About the family: Ribonuclease P (RNase P) is a ubiquitous endoribonuclease, found in archaea, bacteria and eukarya as well as chloroplasts and mitochondria. Its best characterised activity is the generation of mature 5'-ends of tRNAs by cleaving the 5'-leader elements of precursor-tRNAs.
Source: RNAcentral
UGAGUUGGAUAAAUGAUCGCGGCUGCAAGUACCGAAAGGUCGCAGGUGAGGAAAGUCCGGGCUUCAUAGGGCAGGGUGCCAGAUAACGUCUGGUGGAGGCGACUCCCAGGCUAGUGCAACAGAAAUAAACCGCCAGUUUUACUGGUAAGGGUGGAAAGGCGAGGUAAGAGCUCACCGCUGGACUGGUAACAGGACAGGCUCUGUAAACCCCACUCGAAGCAAGACCAAAACGUGAGCGAUACGGCUGCCCGUCGUGCUUACAGGUAGGUCGCUUGAUCUUGUUGGUGACAGCAAGGCUAGAUAGAUGAUCAUUCUCGACAUAACCCGGCUUAUCGUCCAACUCAUGGU